This 492-nucleotide ribosomal RNA is filed under the name uncultured bacterium. Its description in RNAcentral is "partial 16S ribosomal RNA". It matches the Rfam family "Bacterial small subunit ribosomal RNA", at positions 29 to 507 of the family's 1533-position model. The record is from RNAcentral.
AGUGAACGCUGGCGGUAGGCCUAACACAUGCAAGUCGAACGGCAGCACAGUAAGAGCUUGCUCUUACGGGUGGCGAGUGGCGGACGGGUGAGGAAUACAUCGGAAUCUACUUUUUCGUGGGGGAUAACGUAGGGAAACUUACGCUAAUACCGCAUACGACCUACGGGUGAAAGCAGGGGAUCUUCGGACCUUGCGCGAUCGAAUGAGCCGAUGUCGGAUUAGCUAGUUGGCGGGGUAAAGGCCCACCAAGGCGACGAUCCGUAGCUGGUCUGAGAGGAUGAUCGGCCACACUGGAACUGAGACACGGUCCAGACUCCUACGGGAGGCAGCAGUGGGGAAUAUUGGACAAUGGGCGCAAGCCUGAUCCAGCCAUACCGCGUGGGUGAAGAAGGCCUUCGGGUCGUAAAGCCCUUUUGUUGGGAAAGAAAAGCAGCAGGUUAAUACCCCGCUGUUCUGACGGUACCCAAAGAAUAAGCACCGGCUAACUUCGUG